This is a long non-coding RNA of Oncorhynchus tshawytscha (Chinook salmon), 733 nucleotides long. RefSeq lists it as uncharacterized. NCBI's taxonomy places the organism in Eukaryota, Metazoa, Chordata, Actinopteri, Salmoniformes, Salmonidae. The record is from RefSeq and is a predicted model, not a curated record. The transcript has 7 exons.
UUGAUGGAAGGCCUGGCCCCAAGGGGGAACCAGGUGAGGAGUGAAAGGAGAUAAGGGAGAUGCAGGCGACAAAGGUCCUCCUGGGUUAAGGGGUACCCAGGGUCUUCCAGGUUCUACAGGGUUGGUUGGUCUCCCUGGCACCAAAGGGGGAAAGGGAGAGCAAGGAUUGCCGGGAUUAGAUGGUUUCCCCGGGCUGAUGGGACAAAAGGGGGAGAGGGGGGGCAGAGGAGACAAGGGUGACAGGGGGAUGCUGGGAAAGAAGGGACUGAAGGGACAGAAGGGCGAGCAAGGCCCUCCUGGACUGGACCAGCCCUGUCCUGUGGGUCGGGAUGGAUUACCCAUACCUGGAUGUUGGCAUAAGGUUUGUACAGCAACACUACUUCUAUGAAGCCCUUUUUGGGUGUUAGGCUGUAUUAAGGUAUCUGCAUACUAGGUUCGGUUCGCUCCUAGCAGAACUCGGCUAAGGGAAGUGAACAUCUGUGCCUGGCUUAGUCCCUUAUAAAAGGCCUUCUCUUAAAAAAAUACAAAAAGCGGGAAUAGUACUGCUUUUCCAUCUUGAGAAGCCGUAGUCAGUAUACACUUCCUCAAAAUAGUCUGAAUUCAUCUAAGAUAACUCAAGAAAUCUGUCAUUAAUUUUGACGUUUUUGCCGAAGAGAUCUUAGUCGCCCAAUUUUACAUCUAACUAAGAUGUUUGGUGCAGUAUUUUUAUAUGAAAAAAUUUGUAUGAAAACGA